CUUCACCGACCCCAACAACAACGGCACAUCCCGACCCUGCCCAUACGUCGCCAACAACGCCUGAGCCUC
Non-coding RNA from Micromonospora aurantiaca ATCC 27029, 69 nucleotides. It matches the Rfam family "ASpks TB sRNA". NCBI's taxonomy places the organism in Bacteria, Bacillati, Actinomycetota, Actinomycetes, Micromonosporales, Micromonosporaceae. The record is from Rfam.